Long non-coding RNA from Gigantopelta aegis, 517 nucleotides. RefSeq lists it as uncharacterized. The record is from RefSeq and is a predicted model, not a curated record. NCBI's taxonomy places the organism in Eukaryota, Metazoa, Mollusca, Gastropoda, Neomphalida, Peltospiridae. The transcript is spliced from 4 exons.
UUUAAGAAAUUCGGCCUUUAUAAUUCGUAAAUCGUGGUAUUUCAUGUCGAUAUCCAUUUAGUAAAUUGAAAAGCUGUUUAGAACGUUACGAUCCAGCACGUUACUAAAAUGGUUAAGUAGACUCUUUGUAAAGUUAGUUUUCGCUUUUUACGAGCUCGCGUGACACGUGUGACGUAAAAUGAGACCAGGGAAUUCCCACUGCAAGUUUACACAAGUUACGUAGAUUAAAGGAGGAGAUGAACAGAGUCCAACAGCAGAGCAUCCAUUGAAGCUACGACAUGACAGCUUGUUGAAUCACAUGAAUGCUGAAAUGUAGCAGUUACACCAAACACAGAAAAAAAGAAAGAAGAAGAAAAAGGAAAUUACUUUUCUCAACACGAAGAUAAGAUGAAAGACGUCUGCUAUCUAUCUAUAGUCUGUUCCAUCCUCCUACAAAAAUGUUUCUUGUAAAUAAUUUCAGUUUUGUUUCCCAUAAGAAAAAAAGUAAAAGUGUUAUGGAAAUAAAUAAAAAAAACUA